GUUUUUUUGGCAUCGCCUCCGACCGCUGGUUCCCAGUGCUAUGCCUGCCGCGGUCCGGCCCGCUCGCUUGGUUCGGUCCCGCGCCGCAGCUCCGCCGUAGCCGAUGCUGCCUCGGUUGAUGGUGUCUACAUCAGUAGCCCACUGUCCCACCACCAACCCCGUGUCUUCUGUCUGCUAACACUAUCAGUCGCCCUUUCCUUCGAGGUGCGUUACGCUGCAACUGACGCCUCUUACG
Long non-coding RNA from Dermacentor silvarum, 235 nucleotides. RefSeq lists it as uncharacterized. The record is from RefSeq and is a predicted model, not a curated record. NCBI's taxonomy places the organism in Eukaryota, Metazoa, Arthropoda, Arachnida, Ixodida, Ixodidae. The transcript has 3 exons.